UACGUAGGGUGCGAGCGUUAAUCGGAAUUACUGGGCGUAAAGCGUGCGCAGGCGGUUCGUUGUGUCGGUGGUGAAAUCCCCGGGCUUAACCUGGGAAUGGCCAUGGAAACUGGCGAACUGGAGUGUGGCAGAGGGGGGUGGAAUUCCGCGUGUAGCAGUGAAAUGCGUAGAGAUGCGGAGGAACACCGAUGGCGAAGGCAGCCCCCUGGGCUAGCACUGACGCUCAGGCACGAAAGCGUGGGGAGCGAACGGG
RNAcentral lists this ribosomal RNA (253 nucleotides) under uncultured bacterium. RNAcentral's name for it is "partial 16S ribosomal RNA". It matches the Rfam family "Bacterial small subunit ribosomal RNA", at positions 524 to 776 of the family's 1533-position model. The record is from RNAcentral.